UACUAAGCAUAAUAUGUAUUUGUGUGGACUUGGCAUUUAUACAUAUAUUUUUUUCCUCUAAUUUUGGUUAACUUAAUUGUGACUUGAUGGCUAAAAGAUUGAAAGUCUCAAUGUUUAUUUUUAAGCUUUUGAAUAUCACAAAUUGUAUUGCAGGGUCAGCAGACAGUACACUAAAAUUUUGGGAUUUAGAACCCUUUGAAAUGAAUGGAUCUACUAGACAAGAGGUUUCUCAUUUAUAGUGUCGUGUGAUUAAUGGUGUUAGCAAUAGCGAUUAUUGGUGGGUUUGGAUUCUGCAGUUUCUCUCUUUUAAAUGUUCUUAUUGUGCAUUAUUUUCUUUUUUCAAGUUCACCCCAUGAUGUACAAGCACACAUAUAGUGGAGGUCAUGGUUCUCUAUGAAUUUUGAAAUGGGCACGUUACCAGACAGCAAAGCUUCAAAGGCUUCUCCAUAGUGCAAUAUGAAGACAAGAUCCAUGGGUGUGAAGAAUUCCACUAAGAAAACUAUUAGAAGGAAUCACAAAUAAGUGGCAAAAAAGAAGGUGGAACUCUCGGAGUCCAGGAUCUGGCAUAUCUUCUUGCAACAGCCAACUUUAUGGGAUCUCCAAGCUCCCAUUUAGAUCUGUGGUACUCUAACUUCUUACAAUCCCUGAUUUUACUGCUUUCUUUAUUAAUAACAGGUGAAUAUAUACACUUUUGUGCAUCCCUUACUCUAUUGCUUUUUUUGUUGCAAUUCCUUUUGUUUCGGUCUUCUUCCUUUCUUUUUAGAGUUGGCAUUUGAUUGAUGGGUUAUUGCGUUUAUUUUUUAUUUUUAUUUUUUUAAUAGUGGUUUUAUAUUGUUUUAAUUUGAGAGUGACAUUACUAUUAUAUUUUUCAAUAUAUUUUUUAAGCAUAUUUUAAAAUCUUGAUUUUCAUUUCAUAUAACUUCUCUAUAAUCUUAUUUUACCAAUACAUUAUAGACUAAGAUUCUUAAUACCCCUCCUUUUGAAACUCCAUUUUUCUUUUGUUAUCUUUUUCUUAGGCGUUAGUAUGAGAUUGGGUUCUAUUUUGAUGUGAAGUAUUUCAAGCACAUCGCUUGAUAGUAAAUUUGAUGAUGUUGAUAAGUUCCUUUCUGCAUUCACAUGGAUUGAUGAGAAUGAACAUUAAACCUAUAUCUACAUUAAUUUGAAUAAACAAGUAACUGAGUAAGUUUCCAUAAGAUUCCUUAGUGGUGUCACUUUGUAUAUGUUCUAUUAUGUUGUCAUUAAUUAUUCAUUUUAAUUAUGCCUGUCUAAAUAUUUUAUAUCUGAUUUGGUUAGUAAGCAUGGUUCCAAGACUUUAAAUGUCCUCAUGAAGGAACCGUAGAUCAUUCUAGAUUAUCAAAGGGAAAAAAAGAAGAAAAAUUGCUUUCUUUAGUGUGCAUGCAAGAAAUCUUUUGAUAUCUCAUUCAUACAUAAGCAAGAUCCUACUUUUUAAGGAGGAAAAGAAAACAGAACGAAAAACAAAUAAAACACAGAAUUUGACCAUCUUUAGUUUCUUUUUCCUCACUUGAGAGCAGAUGCAUGAAACAGGACAUAGUUAAACUUAUUAAUAAAAUUAACAGAUCCUCCAUUACCAUUCAGUUUAUUAAUAAGAUUUGAAGAAUUACAAAUGGGGCCACUAUUUUAUCUGUGGGUGACUUCGUUCUGGUUUGUUUCCUUUUUAGAUUAAUGGUAUGUAUCAAUUGCUUUGCAACAUUAGUAUUUGAUAUUCUUCUUUCAGUGGUUAUGUUUUAGUUCGAUGAGGUGGAUUUGACUGGCACAAAGUUUGAAUAUUUAUGGUUUGGAGUGAAUAUUUAUGAUUUGUUGACAUGGUGAUUUGUCUCUUUAUCUUGAAAAAUUUAUAUGUUUGGCAAAUAUUUGCAUUUAAAUCUUCUUUACAAUUUUUCUUUCGAAAUCCUCUGUUCCUAUAGAAUUAAGAUAGUUCUUUCUUAGACUCUUUCAUUUAUGAGAAUCUAUUAUUCUACAUAAUGAGAGUUUAGAGAUUAACUAUUUUACAUUGCGUGCAUUGUGCAUCCUGUUUUCUAGAAAAAUAACUAUUUAUAUUUCUUAAAUGAUUUAGGGCUAUGAAGUUCUCAAAAAACUUGCUUAUGUGACUGAUAAAUUUGAUAGGAAAUUCCUUGAGCAAUUACGUGAGUAAGAAGAUUUAGUACUUCGUUGUACUUAAUAUUCUAUGCUCUUUUUUUUUCCUUUGUACUUAGUGUUCAAUGCUUUUUUUUUUCAUUUUCGUUGAUGUGCCUUCUCCUGCUUAGUUACUUUUCAAAGAGUUGGAUACUUAUUUGUCUAUAUAUUAUGACUUAAUUUUUUCUUUUUGAGGGAUAUAAGUUUGCUUUAAAAUAUUGGGUUGCCAUUGUUUAAUUGAGUUCUUUGUUUAUUACAGAGAAUUCUGCACCACAAUUCCUAAUGAUUUUAGAUUCAGAAAAAUUAAGCUCUCUCUCCCAUAUGUUUUUUUAUCCACUUAGUCAUUUAUCAAUUUAUUCUAUGGUUGAAAUCAUAAUUGUGAAUUUCUGACACCUGAUAGUGGAUUUUGUACACUUUAUUCUCCAAUUGGUUUCCUUUUAUAUUAAUGGUAUGUAUCAAUUGCUUCGCAAUAUUAGUGUUUGAUAUUCUUCUUUCACUUGUUAUGUUUUAGUUGGAUGAGGUGGAUCUGGCUGGUGCAAAGUUUGAAUAUUUAUGGUUUGGAGUGAGUAUUUAUUUUUUUUAAAAAAAAUCAUGAAGCUUUUUAUCUUUUGCUGCUUUAGCUUUCAUUAUUGUAUAUUCAUGCUCUAACUACACAAGCUAUAUCUUUUCCAGCUAAUUUUUUGUCGAGAUAGUAAAUUGUCUCUUAUCUUGAAAAAUUUAUGUUUGGCAAAUAUAUGCAUUUAAACCAUUUUUUCAAUUUUUCUUUUGAAAGCCUCUAUUCCUAUAGAAUUAAGAUAAUUCUUUUUUAGACUCUUCUAUUUAUGUGAACCUAUUAUUCUACGUAAUAAGAGUUUAGAGAUCAACCAUUUUACAUUCCGUGUAAUGUGCAUCAUGUUCUCUAAAAAAAUAGCUAUUCAUAUUUCUUAAAUGACUGAGUUAUGAAGUUUUUAAAAAACUUGGUUAUGUGAUAUAUAAUAUUCUGUGCUCUUUUAAAUGUAUAUAAUUGUAUUUUUUUAUUAUCAUUAUUAUUUUGACUGCUGCUCUAUUAAUGUAUAUUUAUAAUUUUACAUGACUUUUGUGGUAUUAUGUAGUAUAUGAAGUUGGUGACAGUGCCAUUGCAAUGUUAGGUGAUCUUAAUAGUAGGAAAUGGCUUUUCCUCUCUGAUGUGUGUUAUUAUCUAUGAGACGAUGACUAUUAACAAGCUUUAGGGGUCAAACAUAUGAGUCUAUAUUUGUCGAAGCAUGUUUUUAGACACAGACAACUUUAUGUUACUCUUUCAAAAAUAAAAUUUAAAAUCAAGAUUAAGGGUAUUAGUUUAGAAUAAUC
Arachis duranensis is the source of this 3459-nucleotide long non-coding RNA. RefSeq lists it as uncharacterized. NCBI's taxonomy places the organism in Eukaryota, Viridiplantae, Streptophyta, Magnoliopsida, Fabales, Fabaceae. The record is from RefSeq and is a predicted model, not a curated record. The transcript has 3 exons.